Molecule: ribosomal RNA, 252 nt
Filed under: uncultured Bacteroidales bacterium
Lineage: Bacteria; Pseudomonadati; Bacteroidota; Bacteroidia; Bacteroidales
Description: partial 16S ribosomal RNA
Rfam family: Bacterial small subunit ribosomal RNA
Source: RNAcentral
UACGUAGGGGGCAAGCGUUAUCCGGAUUUACUGGGUGUAAAGGGAGCGUAGACGGAAUUGCAAGUCUGAUGUGAAAAUUCGGGGCUCAACCCCGUCGUGCCGUUGAAACUGAUGUUCUUGAGUGGGCGAGAAGUAUGCGGAAUGCGUGGUGUAGCGGUGAAAUGCAUAGAUAUCACGCAGAACUCCGAUUGCGAAGGCAGCAUACCGGCGCCCAACUGACGCUGAAGCACGAAAGCGUGGGUAUCGAACAGG